UACAGAGGGUGCUAGCGUUGUUCGGAAUCAUUGGGCGUAAAGGGCGUGUAGGCGGUUUGUUAAGUCAUGUGUGAAAGCCCCCGGCUCAACCGGGGAACGACGCAUGAAACUGGCAAGCUAGAGUACCGAAGAGGGGGGUGGAAUUCCUGGUGUAGCGGUGGAAUGCGUAGAUAUCGGGAGGAACACCUGCGGCGAAGGCGGCUGCCUGGACCAUUACCGACGCUGAGGCGCGAAAGCUAGGGGAGCAAACAGG
Molecule: ribosomal RNA, 253 nt
Filed under: uncultured bacterium
Lineage: Bacteria
Description: partial 16S ribosomal RNA
Rfam family: Bacterial small subunit ribosomal RNA
Source: RNAcentral